AUCCAGCUGACGAGUCUCAAAUAGAACGAAACGCAUGUCCUGGAU
Non-coding RNA from Schistosoma haematobium, 45 nucleotides. Lineage: Eukaryota; Metazoa; Platyhelminthes; Trematoda; Strigeidida; Schistosomatidae. The record is from Rfam.